Molecule: ribosomal RNA, 245 nt
Filed under: uncultured Bacillota bacterium
Lineage: Bacteria; Bacillati; Bacillota
Description: uncultured Firmicutes bacterium partial 16S ribosomal RNA
Rfam family: Bacterial small subunit ribosomal RNA
Source: RNAcentral
UACGUAGGGGGCGAGCGUUGUCCGGAAUGAUUGGGCGUAAAGGGCGCGUAGGCGGCCAUUUAAGUCUGGAGUGAAAGUCCUGCUUUCAAGGUGGGAACUGCUUUGGAUACUGGAUGGCUUGAGUGCAGGAGAGGUCAUUGGAAUUCCCAGUGUAGCGGUGAAAUGCGUAGAGAUUGGGAGGAACACCAGUGGCGAAGGCGAGUGACUGGACUGUAACUGACGCUGAGGCGCGAAAGUGUGGGGAG